UUUUUCCUAGUCAUUUAUUCCUUUAUUUAUAUGUGGAUUAAUUCCAAACAAACUGCCUACCAUAAAACUAUGCCCUUCUUUAGAAACAAAUUAAGUCUAUAUUAUACGAAAAACAAAACAUAUAAUCAAAAACAUAAUAAAAUGUAAUAAACAAAAAAGACAUAUGGAGUGAAAUUUUGGAACUAGAUUUGGAGAUAGUUAUAUCAAAAAAUCUGACACAUAUUUCACCACGACUCCUUUUCUAACUUUGUAAAUGAAGAGGUGUAGUCCACAUAUCAUUAAUUUUUCUGAAAGACAUUUCUCAUCCUAAUGUUUUUAUGUACCUUUUUGCUUUUCCCCCACAGGUCAAAGAUGUUGAUUCAUUCAUAGUGUGAGGCCCAGAAAUCGGCAUUUUUAAACAAGUACACUGGACAUUUCUAAAGCUGGCUAAAGUUUGAGAGACACUAUCCAAGGGAAAUUUCUCCGUAACUCUUUUUCUCAGAAGAAAAGUAAACUAAAAGUAAAAAUAAGCAGUACCACUAAGUUUCAAGUGAUCUUCUCCUAAAAGAAGAAAAGGCCUAUAUUCAGGCACAAGAAAAGUAUAUUCUCUUUUAUCCAUGCAGAAAACAGCUAGUGGUUGAAAAUCAACACUUCAGACCUCUUGUCUACAUAAAGCCAACUGCCCCUUUGUUUUACUGAUGUCUUCAAUGAUUUUACUUAGAUUUUUCUACGGCAUUUACUGAAUUAGCUAAGCAGACACAGAUCCAGUCCUUCAUGAAUAUGGUUUGGAGACUCUCUACUGAAUCAGCACUCUUAGCUUCACCGACAUAGUCUCUUGGUAGACCAGAAGGUGUAUCUUAUCUGGAAAGACUGCUAUAUCUACACCCACAAAAAGCAUUAUUUAUCUGAACACUAAAUUCUGACUUCCUUGCCAUUUUAGGGAGCCACUUUAAAACAUUUUCAAUAUUUGCUAUUUUGUAGCAGCAAAUCCUUCAGAAGGAGGUCAAGUGAUGGCCUUUAUCUGUUCCCAGUGUCUUGCCCUUAGGUCCUCAGGGCACCCCCUGGACAGCAGCCUUAGGAACCAGGUACAAAGCACAAGCACUGCUGGUCCGCAUGGUAAGGAAUCACUUCCAGACUGGGCCUUCCCAUGGGCUUCCCUGAGCUUCCUGGACUCAAAUCAUAGUCCUUCUUUUCCUCUCCCCUUUGGACUUGAUAAACGCAGUCCCAUUCAUUUAAUCUCCAACUUAGAAAUCCGGAGAAUGUGAGCCCUGGGAUUUACUUUCAGACACCCUCGUCGAUAACCUUGGCCACUUAGGUUGCUGCAGCCUGUCCCCAGGGAGACAGUUAGAAUGGAACAAUGACACAAACAACACCAACAAUAACAACAGCAGCAGAAGCAGAAGCAACAAUAGUAGAACGAGAAAUAAUUUAUAACAUGCUUACUACAUGCCAGGCACUAAGUGCUUACCCAUAUUAACUCAGUUAAUUCUUAUAACAACCAGAUGAGAUAGAUUUUCUUAUUAUCCCGAUUUUACAAAUGAGCAAACAGAGGCACAAGCAGGUUAAGAAACCUCCCCAAGGUUAAACAGUGAGAAACAGCAAAGAUUUGAACAGUGAGAAACAGCAAAGAUUUGAAACAGCAAAGAUUUGAACCUAUUGUUCGGGAGUCCAUGCUGUUACUCAUUUCUUUAUGCUGCCAUAAUCUAAUAUAAAAUUGAAUAACAAUAAAUGCACCUUAUAUUUGUAUAGCUAUACACACUAAUUUACAUGAUCUUCAUAAGAACUAUGAAAUGGCUGUGAUUAUCCCCAUUUUUAAAAUGAUACUAUAAAGGCAUAAAAUGCUGUAUUUAUGGUAUGCAACCCUUUGGUGAACAACCCUAUAAAUAUUUAAUUACUUAUAUUGAUGUUCUUCCUACGUCUAAGAAAAAUGUUAUUUCCAUUCCCAAGAUGUUAGUAGAGACGAAGAUUUUUCAAUUUGUCUCCUUGAUUUUGUUGGAUUAUAGCAUUAAAGUUAUUUUUACAAAGCCAUCUACGGUAACCCAGUAGAAAGGGUAAGCCUGUUGGCUUAGGAAAACUGAAUGGCAUUCAGUUUCUUCAAAGAAAUUUGGGACAGAUGUGGGUUUUUUUUCUUCUUCUUCUUCAACAAAUCCAGAAGAUGAAAAAUGUAUUUUAUUUCUUGUGAAAUGCAUUUUUCUGUUCAUCUCAGUAUGUGGGACUGUUGAAGUUUAUAAGUUUGGCAGUGUUCUAACAUGGCCAUCCUGUUCUCCUUUAGCAACUUAUUAAAUGUAUUUUUUUUAAUGAAAACAGAACAUAGUGGAAAACUUUUUUCAUCUUUUGACAUUUACUUGUUGGUUAGUGUUUUCUACCAACAAGAUCUCAAACCAGUAUGACAAAACAUCCACAACUCAUUUCCAAAGGCAUUGCAGAUGAUGGUGCCCGGCUCUUCUGUACAAUGUUUUAUUAUUUAUUUAUUUAUUUUAUUAUACUUUAAGUUCUGGGAUACAUGUGCAGAAUGUGCAGGUUUUCCCAUCUGAGAAUCAGUGAUGAUUUUAGAGCUGUUAACUAAUUCUUUUUAGAUCAAUGUUGGUUUAUUGGAAGGGAAAAUUUUUCUCAAGGUUUCUUACACAACAAUGCUACUAAAUUGCAAUGUGGAUACUCCACGGGAUUUUAAAAAAGUUUUAGUGUGGUCUUGCUUGGAGGCAGGUGGGCAGACAGAAUGGCAUUUUCCAUUUCUUCCUGGAUUUAGGACCCUAAGAGAUUUUCCCAAGUCAUUUUCUGGAACUCACGAAGCUCCCUUGGCCUGCUGACUCCACCAUCAAUGAAACCAUGAGAUUCUUCCCUAGUGUUCCAAUCUCCUUUGAUUUUUCAGGCCUAUUUCAGCUCUCAUUUUCAUAUCCCAGCUUUGCCUUUACACUCGAUAUUUUAAAGAGCUUCAGAGUUGACCAAAAUUGUGUCCUAGUGCAUGGAGAAGUUAUUCCAUUCUCUCCAAAUUGUUAUCCUGGAUGAUUGGAUUUAACAACCUCUAGGAGGAUUUGUGGAGGUUUUAGUUUGAUUUCCCUGUGAUCAUUGAUGGUAUUUUUAUUUUCAUUUGCUAAGAAGCUUUCUGCAGUACAGGGAAUAGCUAAUCAUGCCAUUCCUAUCUUUGGCUCAUCUUAACUUCCUUCUUACUAAACAUCCACCUUUAAAUACUAUGAUCUAAGAAUCAUAAUUAUUCCUAUACAAUGUGCUAACCAAAUCACAGCACAAGUGAUAGAUGUGAUUUAAUAGGUAGUGCAUGCCAUCACAUGAAAUUCAGUGUUAGAUAUAACCAUAUCUAAUGCUGUCUUGUUCCUGUCUUGUAGUUCACCUAUUAAACCUACUAGGCUGACAGAGCACAAUCUUGGGGGAAGCAUGGAAAGAGAAGAGAAAGAAUUCUCCGUAGACAUGCAUGAACAUUCAUAGGAUAGGGAAAAAAAAAGGAGUUCUAUAAGCACUUUUCUAUAUUCCCUAAACUGUAAUAGGCUGAAUUUUUUGUGCCCCUUUAUUUUCUGUUGGGUGCAGGAAAAAAUAACUAUUCUACAGAUAGCUCACAGAAGAGUGGCCAACAACUACGGUUACAUAGCCUGCUUUUACACAAUUUUUUCCAGAACCCAUAACUUGAAUGAAAAGCUCUUUUUUUUUCUUUGCUCCACUUGUGAUGAGAAUAGUUUGUUUGACUCAUACCAAACCAAAUCAAGCAUUUCUGUGGGCACAAAGAGGAAUGUGGAGCAAAGAAAGAUUUUCUUCCUAAAAAAGAGUGUGUGCAUGGAAAACAAAAUUGCUUCAGAUUUCACAACAUCCUUUACCAUUAAACACUGAAGGCGGUUUCGGGUCAGUCCAAUUUCCUUUGCAGAUAUUUGACUUUAAAAAUCACAUAUUCAACUUUUAAAAAUGGAUUUGUGUGAAAUGAUAUAUAAAAAAAAUCUCAUGGUAUAUAAGUCAUGAUGAGUUUCAGCUUAUGUUUAACCUCUGCCUCUUCAUCUUUAAGAGAUGCAAAUUGCCUCCAGGCAAUAGUGGAAAUGUCUCGUAUAUCUUGUCCUGCUUCCUCCAAAUCAGCCCCCAAAGACGUUUACAUUAGGAACUCAGAGUGAUGCUGAAAUAAAUGAGUUUCUUCAAAAGGCUGACUGCCCCCUAUCUAGGAAAUUAAAAAUCACUGGAGAGAUUUUUUUUUUAAAAAGGGCAAUAACAGAUAAGUACAUAGUUCUUGCUUUCUCAGCCAGCCCUAUUAAUACUUUUUAGAAUCUCAAAUGACUGAUACUGUUAACUAUGUGGCUAAUUUUAAGAGGGAGAGUAAAACUUUUUCUAAACGACUCAAGUAUCAUACUCUCUCAGUUGUUCCAAGAUCUCAGAUUUGUGACUGUACUUAUUCAAAGAAUGUCAUGCAUUUGCUUUUCUCUUCAAGAAUGUAACAUUACAAAUGUCUUUUAAAUAUGAUUUGAUGUGAAGCUACAAUAAUUCUUUGCAUGCAUUUGAGAACUACAGAUUCUGGCAGUUGACUCAGAAGAGCUUCUCUGCUUCCUUAAAACAAUGAAAACAAUCUCACUUACCUUCUCCCAAGGCUGCUGUGAACACUAAAAUUGCGAAAAAUCAGAAAACUGAGGUAUAGAGUGAGUUCUGGAUGGUUCUCCGGGGCCCGUGGCCAUGCUGUACCUGGCAACAACCUCUGGGAAGUGAGAACAACAGGUAUCACCAUGAUUAUUACAAUUUUAUAGACAAGGAAAGCAACUCAACAUGGAGAAAUGACUUGUCUAACAUCACUGGGCAGAGUUAGU
This 4769-nucleotide long non-coding RNA is filed under the name Homo sapiens (human). RNAcentral describes it as "long non-coding RNA NONHSAT156188.1". The record is from RNAcentral. Lineage: Eukaryota; Metazoa; Chordata; Mammalia; Primates; Hominidae.